GAUGAAGAACGUAGCGAAAUGCGAUAAGUAAUGUGAAUUGCAGAAUUCAGUGAAUCAUCGAAUCUUUGAACGCACAUUGCGCCCAUUAGUAUUCUAGUGGGCAUGCCUGUUCGAGCGUCAUUAAGUCCACUUAAGCCCUGCUUAGUGUUGGGAGACUGCUCCAGCGGUGCUACCCUGUAGCUACCCUGCAGCUCCUCAAAGACAGCGGCGGAGUUGUGGUAUCCUCUGAGCUUAGUAACUUGUUCUAGCUUUCUAGUACACCACUUCCCCUGCCGUAAAACCCUUAAUUUUUAAUGGUUGACCUCGGAUCAGGUAGGAAUACCCGCUGAACUUAAGCAUAUCAAUAAGCGGAGGA
Molecule: unclassified non-coding RNA, 355 nt
Filed under: soil metagenome
Description: partial contains 5.8S ribosomal RNA, internal transcribed spacer 2, and large subunit ribosomal RNA
Rfam family: 5.8S ribosomal RNA (bases 1-120)
Source: RNAcentral